AGUGAACGCUGGCGGUAGGCCUAACACAUGCAAGUCGAACGGACGCACAGUAAGCGCUUGCUCUUACGGGUGGCGAGUGACGGACGGGUGAGGAGUACAUAGGCAUCUACUUUUUCGUGGGGGAUAACGUAGAGCAACUUACGCUACUACCGAAUACGACCUACGGGUGAAAGCAGGGGAUCUUCGGACCUUGAGCGAUUGAUUGAGCCGAUGUCGGGUUAGCUAGUUGGCGGGGUAAAGGCCCACCAAGGCGACGAUCCUUAGCUGGUCUGAGAGGAUGAUCAGCCACACUGGAACUGAGACACGGUCCAGACUCCUACGGGAGGCAGCAGUGGGGAAUAUUGGACAAUGGGCGCAAGCCUGAUCCAGCCAUACCGCGUGGGUGAAGAAGGCCUUCGGGUUGUAAAGCCCUUUUGUUGGGAAAGAAAAGCAGCAUGUGAAUACCCCGCUGUUCCGACGGUACCCAAAGAAAAAGCACCGGCUAACUACGUG
This 492-nucleotide ribosomal RNA is filed under the name uncultured bacterium. RNAcentral's name for it is "partial 16S ribosomal RNA". It matches the Rfam family "Bacterial small subunit ribosomal RNA", at positions 29 to 507 of the family's 1533-position model. The record is from RNAcentral.